GACGAACGCUGGCGGCGUGCUUAACACAUGCAAGUCGAACGGAAAGGCCCUGCUUUUGUGGGGUGCUCGAGUGGCGAACGGGUGAGUAACACGUGAGUAACCUGCCCUUGACUUUGGGAUAACUUCAGGAAACUGGGGCUAAUACCGGAUAGGAGCUCCUGCUGCAUGGUGGGGGUUGGAUAGUUUCGGCGGUUGCGGAUGGACUCGCGGCUUAUCAGCUUGUUGGUGGGGUAGUGGCUGACCAAGGCUUUGACGGGUAGCCGGCCUGAGAGGGUGACCGGCCACAUUGGGACUGAGAUACGGCCCAGACGCCUGCGGGAGGCAGCAGUGGGGAAUAUUGCACAAUGGGCGGAAGCCUGAUGCAGCAACGCCGCGUGCGGGAGGACGGCCUUCGGGUUGUAAACCGCUUUCGCCUGUGACGAAGCGUGAGUGACGGUAAUGGGUAAAGAAGCACCGGCUAACUACGUG
RNAcentral lists this ribosomal RNA (468 nucleotides) under uncultured bacterium. RNAcentral's name for it is "partial 16S ribosomal RNA". It matches the Rfam family "Bacterial small subunit ribosomal RNA", at positions 28 to 507 of the family's 1533-position model. The record is from RNAcentral.